This 505-nucleotide ribosomal RNA is filed under the name uncultured bacterium. RNAcentral's name for it is "partial 16S ribosomal RNA". It matches the Rfam family "Bacterial small subunit ribosomal RNA", at positions 28 to 507 of the family's 1533-position model. The record is from RNAcentral.
GACGAACGCUGGCGGCGUGCCUAAUACAUGCAAGUCGAACGCACAGUUUAUACCGUAGCUUGCUACACCAUAGACUGUGAGUUGCGAACGGGUGAGUAACGCGUAGGUAACCUGCCUGGUAGCGGGGGAUAACUAUUGGAAACGAUAGCUAAUACCGCAUAAUAUUGAUUAUUGCAUGAUAAUUAAUUGAAAGGUGCAAUUGCACCACUACCAGAUGGACCUGCGUUGUAUUAGCUAGUAGGUGAGGUAACGGCUCACCUAGGCGACGAUACAUAGCCGACCUGAGAGGGUGAUCGGCCACACUGGGACUGAGACACGGCCCAGACUCCUACGGGAGGCAGCAGUAGGGAAUCUUCGGCAAUGGACGAAAGUCUGACCGAGCAACGCCGCGUGAGUGAAGAAGGUUUUCGGAUCGUAAAGCUCUGUUGUAAGAGAAGAACGGGUGUGAGAGUGGAAAGUUCACACUGUGACGGUAUCUUACCAGAAAGAGACGGCUAACUACGUG